UACGGAGGAUGCAAGCGUUAUCCGGAUUUAUUGGGUUUAAAGGGUGCGUAGGCGGAAUAAUAAGUCAGUGGUGAAACCCUGCAGCUUAACUGUAGACUUGCCAUUGAUACUGUUAUUCUUGAGUGUGGUCAAGGUAGGCGGAAUGUGUAGUGUAGCGGUGAAAUGCUUAGAUAUUACACAGAACACCGAUUGCGAAGGCAGCUUGCUGGGCCAUUACUGACGCUGAUGCACGAAAGCGUGGGGAUCGAACAGG
This 253-nucleotide ribosomal RNA is filed under the name uncultured bacterium. Its description in RNAcentral is "partial 16S ribosomal RNA". It matches the Rfam family "Bacterial small subunit ribosomal RNA", at positions 524 to 776 of the family's 1533-position model. The record is from RNAcentral.